Molecule: ribosomal RNA, 449 nt
Filed under: uncultured bacterium
Lineage: Bacteria
Description: partial 16S ribosomal RNA
Rfam family: Bacterial small subunit ribosomal RNA
Source: RNAcentral
AACGAACGCUGGCGGCAUGCCUAACACAUGCAAGUCGAACGAGAUCUUCGGGUCUAGUGGCGCACGGGUGCGUAACGCGUGGGAAUCUGCCCUUUGGUUCGGAAUAACAGUUGGAAACGACUGCUAAUACCGGAUGAUGACGAAAGUCCAAAGAUUUAUCGCCAGAGGAUGAGCCCGCGUAGGAUUAGCUAGUUGGUGUGGUAAAGGCGCGCCAAGGCGACGAUCCUUAGCUGGUCUGAGAGGAUGAUCAGCCACACUGGGACUGAGACACGGCCCAGACUCCUACGGGAGGCAGCAGUGGGGAAUAUUGGACAAUGGGCGAAAGCCUGAUCCAGCAAUGCCGCGUGAGUGAUGAAGGCCUUAGGGUUGUAAAGCUCUUUUACCCGGGAUGAUAAUGACAGUACCGGGAGAAUAAGCUCCGGCUAACUCCGUGCCAGCAGCCGCAGUAA